RNAcentral lists this ribosomal RNA (379 nucleotides) under uncultured eukaryote. RNAcentral describes it as "partial 18S ribosomal RNA". It matches the Rfam family "Eukaryotic small subunit ribosomal RNA", at positions 592 to 976 of the family's 1831-position model. The record is from RNAcentral.
CAAUAGCGUAUAUUUAAGUUGUUGCAGUUAAAAAGCUCGUAGUUGGAUUUCGGGUGGGACCUGCCGGUCCGUCGUUGCGAUGUGCACUGGCCGGUCCCAUCUUGUUGUCGGGGACCAGCUCCUGGGCUUCACUGUCCGGGACUGGGAGCCGACGAAGUUACUUUGAGUAAAUUAGAGUGUUCAAAGCAAGCCUACGCUCUGAAUAUAUUAGCAUGGAAUAACACGAUAGGACUCUGGCUUAUCUUGUUGGUCUGUGAGACCAGAGUAAUGAUUAAGAGGGACAGUCGGGGACAUUCGUAUUUCAUUGUCAGAGGUGAAAUUCUUGGAUUUAUGAAAGACGAACUUCUGCGAAAGCAUUUGUCAAGGAUGUUUUCAUUAA